RNAcentral lists this ribosomal RNA (424 nucleotides) under uncultured bacterium. RNAcentral's name for it is "bacterial SSU rRNA". It matches the Rfam family "Bacterial small subunit ribosomal RNA", at positions 359 to 775 of the family's 1533-position model. The record is from RNAcentral.
GAAUAUUGCACAAUGGGCGCAAGCCUGAUGCAGCCAUGCCGCGUGUAUGAAGAAGGCCUUCGGGUUGUAAAGUACUUUCAGCGGGGAGGAAGGGAGUAAAGUUAAUACCUUUGCUCAUUGACGUUACCCGCAGAAGAAGCACCGGCUAACUCCGUGCCAGCAGCCGCGGUAAUACGGAGGGUGCAAGCGUUAAUCGGAAUUACUGGGCGUAAAGCGCACGCAGGCGGUUCGUUAAGUCAGAUGUGAAAUCCCCGGGCUCAACCUGGGAACUGCAUCUGAUACUGGCAAGCUUGAGUCUCGUAGAGGGGGGUAGAAUUCCAGGUGUAGCGGUGAAAUGCGUAGAGAUCUGGAGGAAUACCGGUGGCGAAGGCGGCCCCCUGGACGAAGACUGACGCUCAGGUGCGAAAGCGUGGGGAGCAAACAG